CAUAGGCCUGACUGACCGGCAUGUCCCUAGGACUCUUGCUGUGCUUUGGUGGGAGCUGAUUGUUGUGAUAGCAUAAGGGAAGCCCACCAGGUCUUGGAGUGUGGGGUUUGUAUUUGCCAUGUGAGCGUCAUCAACGGGGGAAGGCCCUGAGGUGGCAGCCUUCCAUGGGCUUAUGAGCCAUCUUUACUAGUUUUGAACUGUUCCCUUCCCCCCACCCCCAACUGUAGGCAACAGUAGCAUAGUCCCUCCCUCUUGCCCCUCCCCCUCCCUUAGCUUCACCCCCCUAGUUUAAUCGUGUUGGGGACUGGGUGGCUAUUCUCAUACUUUACUAUUAUUAGUGGUAUAUUGGUUUUGCUGUUGGUGGUUAAAAGGAGCACCAGGGGGCUGGAGAGACUUCUGGUCUUGGCAAGGGGGCCGGGAGAAGGAAACAUGGCACACGUGGUAAUCACUGUUCCCUCUAACAAGGAUUCUGAGAUGUUGUUGACUACAACUCCCAGAAUCCCCAGCUGCAGUGGCUUUUGCUUGGGAGUAUGGGAGCAGUAGUCAACAAUAUCUGGAAAUCCCUGUUAGAAGGAACACUGGUGGUAAUAUUAAGGCACAUUUGUUACAUGAAGUUUUGGGUCACCUGGAUGCACUGGAGAAGAAGGAAGACUCUCAGAAAACCUCUCAGCAUCCCACCGAACAACCUUAUCACCCCACUGAUGGAGCAGGUGCAGUCCUGCCAAACGUGGCUGAUGAGGAUCUGGGCCCAGCAGAAAUCUAUUUGUGACAAAGUAAGAACAAUAUCAGGAUGACACCCCCAGCAGGAGAAGAAAUUUCCUGAUGUCCAUGUAAAGUCCAGUCCAGUCUAAAUGGCCAAGAUACAGGUGAAGAAGCAAGCCAUGAGGCAGAGUCAAACACUGUUAGCUUCCAGGGUGCAGGAACAGUAGCCUGAAUCAACUUUAAGAGCCUGGCUGGGAGUUCUUGCAAGACUUGAGGGUGUCUGCCUUCCCACUGACGAGCUUCAAAAAGAGGUUUCAGCACUACCUGAGGGAACCAGUUUCUGGGAUCAUUUUUCCAAGACAACGAUAACUUCCAUCCCAGCCUCUACAAAAGGCUGUAUGCCUGUGGAGACUUGAAUAAAAUUUAUAUUUUAUACAUCCAAAUAAAAGGUUUAUAUGA
Hemicordylus capensis (graceful crag lizard) is the source of this 1161-nucleotide long non-coding RNA. RefSeq lists it as uncharacterized. Lineage: Eukaryota; Metazoa; Chordata; Lepidosauria; Squamata; Cordylidae. The record is from RefSeq and is a predicted model, not a curated record. The transcript has 2 exons.